Molecule: long non-coding RNA, 842 nt
Filed under: Oryctolagus cuniculus (rabbit)
Lineage: Eukaryota; Metazoa; Chordata; Mammalia; Lagomorpha; Leporidae
Description: lncRNA (ENSOCUG00000033198.1)
Source: RNAcentral
AUGAUAUUCAUAGUUAUCUUUAUUUCAGUCAGUAAAAGUGACCUAAAUUUCAAAAAUUUUUCUGAAAUGCAAGUGGAAACAAUUGAGCCUCUAUUGGAAAAGGAUUCCAGCAAAAUGAAGUGUGUGAAACAGGACUGUCAACACCUUAAUUUUAGCCUGAUAUUCAAGAAAAUUACCCUGUAUUUUAGAUCAUAUUUGGUCGGAACAGCAACACAACGUUCCUGUGCUCAGACAAUGUCGUUAGGACACCUGCUUCAGCGCCUGCUGCUCAUAACCAUCAGGAACUAUGUGAGAUCACACCGGAGUGCCCUAAUACUGGGUUUCCUCUUGAUGCCUCAAGCACAGAAACCUCUUGUUACUACUUUCCCAUUCAUUUCCUGAAAAUGUAAGCUUCUGCUUUAACAAUAGAUCUGUUCACAUUUUAAAGUCCAGACUCUUUGGAACACAACCACACAAUGCAUAGAGAACACAGCUGAGAACUGCAUGCUAUACAAACUAGGCAUGCGCAAAAGUGGGAACUCAAACCGCUGGAACCAAAAAAGCCAGAGCAAUACUGGAGCUUGAGAACCCUGGAGUCCUGUCAGAAGCCCAGUGUUGCUCUGAAUGAGAAGGUACAUUAACUAAAAAUCCAUCUUAGCAUGCUGGCUUGAUUCCAAACCUUAUCAAAUUUUGUCUUUCUAGGCAUUUCUAUGUACAAAUUUUCUUUUACCUAAUCCCUCAGCCAUUUAUUGAGGAGGCAGAUUUGAGUCAUAUACUCCGUUCUUUAUGUUCUUUAGCUAUAAUUUAAGCCUUUCUAUUUUCAAAAGACUGACCCUUUUCAUCAUAGUGCACAACUGGGAAUG